GUUGGUCAAGGGGUUAAGACACCUCCCUUUCACGGAGGUAACAGGGGUCUCGAAUCCCCCACAGUCACCA
Molecule: transfer RNA, 70 nt
Filed under: Paenibacillus larvae
Lineage: Bacteria; Bacillati; Bacillota; Bacilli; Caryophanales; Paenibacillaceae
Description: tRNA-Glu
Rfam family: tRNA
About the family: Transfer RNA (tRNA) molecules are approximately 80 nucleotides in length. Their secondary structure includes four short double-helical elements and three loops (D, anti-codon, and T loops). Further hydrogen bonds mediate the characteristic L-shaped molecular structure. tRNAs have two regions of fundamental functional importance: the anti-codon, which is responsible for specific mRNA codon recognition, and the 3' end, to which the tRNAs corresponding amino acid is attached (by aminoacyl-tRNA synthetases). tRNAs cope with the degeneracy of the genetic code in two manners: having more than one tRNA (with a specific anti-codon) for a particular amino acid; and 'wobble' base-pairing, i.e. permitting non-standard base-pairing at the 3rd anti-codon position.
Source: RNAcentral